CGGUAAUACGGAGGAUGCGAGCGUUAUCCGGAAUCAUUGGGUUUAAAGGGUCUGUAGGCGGGCUGGUAAGUCAGAGGUGAAAGCGCUCAGCUCAACUGAGCAACUGCCUUUGAAACUGUUGGUCUUGAAUGGUUGUGAAGUAGUUGGAAUGUGUAGUGUAGCGGUGAAAUGCUUAGAUAUUACACAGAACACCGAUAGCGAAGGCAUAUUACUAACAAUUAAUUGACGCUGAUGGACGAAAGCGUGGGGAGCGAACAGGAUUAGAUACCCUGGUAGUCCACGCUGUAAACGAUGGAUACUAGCUGUUUGGUUUAAGGAUUGAGUGGCUAAGCGAAAGUGAUAAGUAUCCCACCUGGGGAGUACGUUCGCAAGAAUGAAACUCAAAGGAAUUGACGGGGGCCCGCACAAG
Molecule: ribosomal RNA, 409 nt
Filed under: uncultured bacterium
Lineage: Bacteria
Description: bacterial SSU rRNA
Rfam family: Bacterial small subunit ribosomal RNA
Source: RNAcentral